GCCCGCUUGGCACAGCGGUAAUGCGCCUCACUAGUAUUGUUUAAAAUACUACUAAGGAAGCUAUGAGGAGAUGACUGGUUCGACUCCAGUAGUGGGCA
This 98-nucleotide transfer RNA is filed under the name Daldinia loculata. Its description in RNAcentral is "tRNA-Thr". It matches the Rfam family "tRNA". From Rfam's summary of the family: Transfer RNA (tRNA) molecules are approximately 80 nucleotides in length. Their secondary structure includes four short double-helical elements and three loops (D, anti-codon, and T loops). Further hydrogen bonds mediate the characteristic L-shaped molecular structure. tRNAs have two regions of fundamental functional importance: the anti-codon, which is responsible for specific mRNA codon recognition, and the 3' end, to which the tRNAs corresponding amino acid is attached (by aminoacyl-tRNA synthetases). tRNAs cope with the degeneracy of the genetic code in two manners: having more than one tRNA (with a specific anti-codon) for a particular amino acid; and 'wobble' base-pairing, i.e. permitting non-standard base-pairing at the 3rd anti-codon position. Lineage: Eukaryota; Fungi; Ascomycota; Sordariomycetes; Xylariales; Hypoxylaceae. The record is from RNAcentral.